CCUACGGGGGGCUGCAGUGGGGAAUAUUGGACAAUGGGGGCAACCCUGAUCCAGCCAUGCCGCGUGUGUGAAGAAGGCCCUCGGGUUGUAAAGCACUUUCAGUGAGGAAGAACGCCUGGUGGUUAAUACCCAUCAGGAAAGACAUCACUCACAGAAGAAGCACCGGCUAACUCCGUGCCAGCAGCCGCGGUAAUACGGAGGGUGCGAGCGUUAAUCGGAAUUACUGGGCGUAAAGCGCGCGUAGGUGGCUUGAUAAGCCGGUUGUGAAAGCCCCGGGCUCAACCUGGAACGGCAUCCGGAACUGUAAAGCUAGAGUGCAGGAGAGGAAGGUAGCAAAACCGGUGUAGCGGUGAACAGCGUCGAGCUCGGGAGCAGUGCCAGUAGCGAAAGCGGCCUUCAUGACUGACAGUGACACUGCGGUGCGAGCGCGUGGGGAGCAAACAGCAUUAUAUACCCGGGUAGAC
Molecule: ribosomal RNA, 464 nt
Filed under: Vreelandella stevensii
Lineage: Bacteria; Pseudomonadati; Pseudomonadota; Gammaproteobacteria; Oceanospirillales; Halomonadaceae
Description: partial 16S ribosomal RNA
Rfam family: Bacterial small subunit ribosomal RNA
Source: RNAcentral